This 324-nucleotide ribosomal RNA is filed under the name uncultured eukaryote. Its description in RNAcentral is "partial 18S ribosomal RNA". It matches the Rfam family "Eukaryotic small subunit ribosomal RNA", at positions 1470 to 1796 of the family's 1831-position model. The record is from RNAcentral.
CCCUCAGAUGUCCUGGGCUGCACGCGCGCUACACUGAUGUGUCCAGUAAGCACCUAACCUCUUCCGAAAGGAACGGGUAACCUUUGCAAAGCACAUCGUGAUGGGGAUAGAUUAUUGCAAUUAUUAGUCUUGAACGAGGAAUUCCUAGUAAGCACAAGUCAUCAGCUUGUGUUGAUUACGUCCCUGCCCUUUGUACACACCGCCCGUCGCUCCUACCGAUUGAAUGUUCCGGUGAGCUCUUCGGACUGCGCGGUCUGCAGUUUCUGCGUUCCGUGCGGAAAGUUGCGCAAACCUUAACAUUUAGAGGAAGGAGAAGUCGUAACA